CGGAGACGAUCCUAGCUUGCUAGGAGGCGUCGAGCGGCGGACGGGUGAGUAAUGCAUAGGAAUCUACCCAGUCGUGGGGGAUAACCUGAGGAAACUCAGGCUAAUACCGCAUACGUCCUACGGGAGAAAGCGGGGGCUCUUCGGACCUCGCGCGAUUGGAUGAGCCUAUGUCGGAUUAGCUGGUUGGUGAGGUAACGGCUCACCAAGGCGACGAUCCGUAGCUGGUCUGAGAGGAUGAUCAGCCACACCGGGACUGAGACACGGCCCGGACUCCUACGGGAGGCAGCAGUGGGGAAUAUUGGACAAUGGGCGCAAGCCUGAUCCAGCCAUGCCGCGUGUGUGAAGAAGGCUUUCGGGUUGUAAAGCACUUUCAGCGAGGAAGAAAGCGUGCCGGCCAAUACCCGGUACGGACGACAUCACUCGCAGAAGAAGCACCGGCUAACUCCGUGCCAGCAGCCGCGGUAAUACGGAGGGUGCAAGCGUUAAUCGGAAUUACUGGGCGUAAAGCGCGCGUAGGCGGCGUGUCACGCCGGGUGUGAAAGCCCCGGGCUCAACCUGGGAACGGCAUCCGGAACGGGCAGGCUAGAGUGCAGGAGAGGAAGGUAGAAUUCCCGGUGUAGCGGUGAAAUGCGUAGAGAUCGGGAGGAAUACCAGUGGCGAAGGCGGCCUUCUGGACUGACACUGACGCUGAGGUGCGAAAGCGUGGGUAGCAAACAGGAUUAGAUACCCUGGUAGUCCACGCCGUAAACGAUGUCGACUAGCCGUUGGGUCCCUUGAGGACUUAGUGGCGCAGUUAACGC
RNAcentral lists this ribosomal RNA (800 nucleotides) under Chromohalobacter sp. K182. RNAcentral's name for it is "bacterial SSU rRNA". It matches the Rfam family "Bacterial small subunit ribosomal RNA", at positions 67 to 858 of the family's 1533-position model. The record is from RNAcentral. Lineage: Bacteria; Pseudomonadati; Pseudomonadota; Gammaproteobacteria; Oceanospirillales; Halomonadaceae.